RNAcentral lists this transfer RNA (70 nucleotides) under Mus musculus (house mouse). RNAcentral's name for it is "tRNA-Ser". Lineage: Eukaryota; Metazoa; Chordata; Mammalia; Rodentia; Muridae. The record is from RNAcentral.
GGUGAAAUGGCUCAGUGGUUGAGAGCAUUGAGUACUCUUCCAGGGGUCCUGAGUUCAAUUCCCAGCACCA